ACGAAUCCUGCACAGCAGAACCACUCGCGAACAAGUUCAUAAACUCAGGGUAAAGGUCGUAGCGGGGGACACCUUGCUACUGACCGGAGCCUAACGGUGCCCUGGCUUCUCGCCAUGGUGCUGAACAAACCCCCGGCGCGAGAAGCGCCAAGGAAUACUUUAACAAGGGCUUGAACCGUCCUCUCCCGCUCGCGGGGCUUGGGGGAUCGGAGACGGCUUCUUUCUAAACCACAACGACUCUCGGCAACGGAUAUCUCGGCUCUCGCAUCGAUGAAGAACGCAGCGAAAUGCGAUACUUGGUGUGAAUUGCAGAAUCCCGUGAACCAUCGAGUCUUUGAACGCAAGUUGCGCCUGAGGCCAUUAGGCUAAAGGCACGUCUGCCUGGGCGUCACGCAUCGCGUCACCCCAUCCCAAAAUCUUGCGGAUGAGGUGGAUUGUGACCUCCUGUGCCUUCGGUUGCAGUUGGUCGAAAUUCGAGUCCGGAGCUUAGGACUUCACGACAAGUGGUGGUUGGAUAACAACUCGCGUCAUGCCGUGUGCCGAACCUCCGUGCCUCUCAAGACCCUGAGGCGCUUGUUAACCGACUCUGCGGGUCGGGAAACUCGUGCUACGA
Molecule: unclassified non-coding RNA, 613 nt
Filed under: Huynhia purpurea
Lineage: Eukaryota; Viridiplantae; Streptophyta; Magnoliopsida; Boraginales; Boraginaceae
Description: sequence contains ITS1, 5.8S rRNA gene, ITS2
Rfam family: 5.8S ribosomal RNA (bases 236-391)
Source: RNAcentral